RNAcentral lists this ribosomal RNA (906 nucleotides) under Hebeloma cf. crustuliniforme 1 UE-2011. RNAcentral describes it as "LSU rRNA". It matches the Rfam family "Eukaryotic large subunit ribosomal RNA", at positions 44 to 935 of the family's 3401-position model. Lineage: Eukaryota; Fungi; Basidiomycota; Agaricomycetes; Agaricales; Hymenogastraceae. The record is from RNAcentral. RNAcentral also lists the same sequence under 1 other name.
CAAUAAGCGGAGGAAAAGAAACUAACAAGGAUUCCCCUAGUAACUGCGAGUGAAGCGGGAAAAGCUCAAAUUUAAAAUCUGGCGGUCUCUGGCCGUCCGAGUUGUAAUCUAGAGAAGUGUUAUCCGCGCUGGACCGUGUACAAGUCUCCUGGAAUGGAGCGUCAUAGAGGGUGAGAAUCCCGUCUUUGACACGGACUGCCAGGGCUUUGUGAUGCGCUCUCAAAGAGUCGAGUUGUUUGGGAAUGCAGCUCAAAAUGGGUGGUAAAUUCCAUCUAAAGCUAAAUAUUGGCGAGAGACCGAUAGCGAACAAGUACCGUGAGGGAAAGAUGAAAAGAACUUUGGAAAGAGAGUUAAACAGUACGUGAAAUUGCUGAAAGGGAAACGCUUGAAGUCAGUCGCGUUGGCCGGGGAUCAACCUUGCUUUUGCUGGGCGUACUUUCCGGUUGACGGGUCAGCAUCAAUUUUGACCGUUGGAUAAAGUCCAGGGGAAUGUGGCAUCUUCGGAUGUGUUAUAGCCCUUGGUCGCAUACAACGGUUGGGAUUGAGGAACUCAGCACGCCGCAAGGCCGGGUACUUGUACCACGUUCGUGCUUAGGAUGCUGGCAUAAUGGCUUUAAUCGACCCGUCUUGAAACACGGACCAAGGAGUCUAACAUGCCUGCGAGUGUUUGGGUGGAAAACUCGGACGCGUAAUGAAAGUGAAAGUUGAGAUCCCUGUCGUGGGGAGCAUCGACGCCCGGACCAGACCUUUUGUGACGGAUCCGCGGUAGAGCAUGUAUGUUGGGACCCGAAAGAUGGUGAACUAUGCCUGAAUAGGGUGAAGCCAGAGGAAACUCUGGUGGAGGCUCGUAGCGAUUCUGACGUGCAAAUCGAUCGUCAAAUUUGGGUAUAGGGGCGAAAGACUAAU